UACGUAGGGGGCAAGCGUUGUCCGGAUUUAUUGGGCGUAAAGAGCGUGUAGGCGGCCAGGUAGGUCUGCUGUGAAAACUCGAGGCUCAACCUCGAGAUGUCGGCGGAAACCAUCUGGCUAGAGUCCGGAAGAGGAGAAUGGAAUUCCCGGUGUAGCGGUGAAAUGCGCAGAUAUCGGGAAGAACACCCGUGGCGAAGGCGGUUCUCUGGGACGGUACUGACGCUGAGGCGCGAAAGCCAGGGGAGCAAACGGG
Molecule: ribosomal RNA, 253 nt
Filed under: uncultured bacterium
Lineage: Bacteria
Description: partial 16S ribosomal RNA
Rfam family: Bacterial small subunit ribosomal RNA
Source: RNAcentral